Molecule: long non-coding RNA, 230 nt
Organism: Apis dorsata (giant honeybee)
Lineage: Eukaryota; Metazoa; Arthropoda; Insecta; Hymenoptera; Apidae
Exons: 3
Source: RefSeq, a predicted model, not a curated record
AAAUUUUACCAAUAAUUAUGAUGCUAAAAAAGUAAUAGAAAUUAUUAAUCUAAAAAAUAACGAAGAAAUCAAGUCUCUAUUAUAAACGUUGGUCGUUCUACUUAACAGGUAAAAUGAGCUCGUUUAAAAAUAAAUUAAAAUAUCGUGCUCUUUCUUUUUUUUGCUUUCUUCAAAAGCAGUUUUAGCAUGAAAAUUCACCAUUCUCUGGCCACGAAUCUAUUUCACGCUCG